Molecule: ribosomal RNA, 521 nt
Filed under: Aspergillus sp. OGGK-2009
Lineage: Eukaryota; Fungi; Ascomycota; Eurotiomycetes; Eurotiales; Aspergillaceae
Description: eukaryotic LSU rRNA
Rfam family: 5.8S ribosomal RNA (bases 147-300)
Source: RNAcentral
CCGUGUUUACUGUACCUUAGUUGCUUCGGCGGGCCCGCCAUUCAUGGCCGCCGGGGGCUCUCAGCCCCGGGCCCGCGCCCGCCGGAGACACCACGAACUCUGUCUGAUCUAGUGAAGUCUGAGUUGAUUGUAUCGCAAUCAGUUAAAACUUUCAACAAUGGAUCUCUUGGUUCCGGCAUCGAUGAAGAACGCAGCGAAAUGCGAUAACUAGUGUGAAUUGCAGAAUUCCGUGAAUCAUCGAGUCUUUGAACGCACAUUGCGCCCCCUGGUAUUCCGGGGGGCAUGCCUGUCCGAGCGUCAUUGCUGCCCAUCAAGCACGGCUUGUGUGUUGGGUCGUCGUCCCCUCUCCGGGGGGGACGGGCCCCAAAGGCAGCGGCGGCACCGCGUCCGAUCCUCGAGCGUAUGGGGCUUUGUCACCCGCUCUGUAGGCCCGGCCGGCGCUUGCCGAACGCAAAUCAAUCUUUUUCCAGGUUGACCUCGGAUCAGGUAGGGAUACCCGCUGAACUUAAGCAUAUCAAUAG